Molecule: ribosomal RNA, 906 nt
Filed under: Escherichia coli
Lineage: Bacteria; Pseudomonadati; Pseudomonadota; Gammaproteobacteria; Enterobacterales; Enterobacteriaceae
Description: partial 23S ribosomal RNA
Rfam family: Bacterial large subunit ribosomal RNA
Source: RNAcentral
GGGACACGUGGUAUCCUGUCUGAAUAUGGGGGGACCAUCCUCCAAGGCUAAAUACUCCUGACUGACCGAUAGUGAACCAGUACCGUGAGGGAAAGGCGAAAAGAACCCCGGCGAGGGGAGUGAAAAAGAACCUGAAACCGUGUACGUACAAGCAGUGGGAGCCUCUUAAUGGGGUGACUGCGUACCUUUUGUAUAAUGGGUCAGCGACUUAUAUUCUGUAGCAAGGUUAACCGAAUAGGGGAGCCGAAGGGAAACCGAGUCUUAACUGGGCGUUAAGUUGCAGGGUAUAGACCCGAAACCCGGUGAUCUAGCCAUGGGCAGGUUGAAGGUUGGGUAACACUAACUGGAGGACCGAACCGACUAAUGUUGAAAAAUUAGCGGAUGACUUGUGGCUGGGGGUGAAAGGCCAAUCAAACCGGGAGAUAGCUGGUUCUCCCCGAAAGCUAUUUAGGUAGCGCCUCGUGAAUUCAUCUCCGGGGGUAGAGCACUGUUUCGGCAAGGGGGUCAUCCCGACUUACCAACCCGAUGCAAACUGCGAAUACCGGAGAAUGUUAUCACGGGAGACACACGGCGGGUGCUAACGUCCGUCGUGAAGAGGGAAACAACCCAGACCGCCAGCUAAGGUCCCAAAGUCAUGGUUAAGUGGGAAACGAUGUGGGAAGGCCCAGACAGCCAGGAUGUUGGCUUAGAAGCAGCCAUCAUUUAAAGAAAGCGUAAUAGCUCACUGGUCGAGUCGGCCUGCGCGGAAGAUGUAACGGGGCUAAACCAUGCACCGAAGCUGCGGCAGCGACACUAUGUGUUGUUGGGUAGGGGAGCGUUCUGUAAGCCUGUGAAGGUGUACUGUGAGGUAUGCUGGAGGUAUCAGAAGUGCGAAUGCUGACAUAAGUAACGAUAAAGCGGGUGAAA